CAGUCGCCACGGUAAUACGAAGGGUGCAAGCGUUAAUCGGAAUUACUGGGCGUAAAGCGUGCGUAGGUGGUGGUUUAAGUCCGUUGUGAAAGCCCUGGGCUCAACCUGGGAAUUGCAGUGGAUACUGGGUCACUAGAGUGUGGUAGAGGAUAGUGGAAUUUCCGGUGUAGCAGUGAAAUGCGUAGAGAUCGGAAGGAACAUCUGUGACGAAGGCGACUAUCUGGGCCAACACUGACACUGAGGCACGAGAGCGUGGGGAGCAAACAGGAUUAGAUACCCCAGUAGUCCCUGUCUCUUAUAC
Molecule: ribosomal RNA, 301 nt
Filed under: uncultured bacterium
Lineage: Bacteria
Description: partial 16S ribosomal RNA
Rfam family: Bacterial small subunit ribosomal RNA
Source: RNAcentral